AUGCUGAGUUGCUGUUAUCUUGUUGCAAUAUCAUUUCUUAUUGUUCCACAUCCGUUAGAACUUUUUGUAGUUGCCAGGGGAAGGAUCCGAGUCGAAGCUGACAGUGUUCAAAGGGUAUUUGAUCUUCCUAACAGGGGUCUAAAAGUCUGUUACAAAGUUUACAAGGAUACAACUAGGAGAUUCAGCGAGACCUUCAACAUAACUGGAACUUCUCAUCCCCAGAUCAGUACAUGGACCACGAUGAUUAAGGAUAUGGGCGGAAGAACGGAUGACACAUUCUUUAUGGCCUGGCUUGCGGUUGCCUUUAGCACUUUCUUAGCACCAACCACGGCCUUGAAGCUCAGCCCAAAGUGCUACGGACUUGUGCUAGAUCAUGAAAACCUCAAGAACACAAACAUCUGCCUUUUUUAG
Molecule: ribosomal RNA, 411 nt
Filed under: Triticum aestivum (bread wheat)
Lineage: Eukaryota; Viridiplantae; Streptophyta; Magnoliopsida; Poales; Poaceae
Description: partial small subunit ribosomal RNA
Source: RNAcentral